This 445-nucleotide ribosomal RNA is filed under the name uncultured bacterium. RNAcentral's name for it is "partial 16S ribosomal RNA". It matches the Rfam family "Bacterial small subunit ribosomal RNA", at positions 354 to 796 of the family's 1533-position model. The record is from RNAcentral.
GUGAGGAAUAUUGGUCAAUGGGCGAGAGCCUGAACCAGCCAAGUCGCGUGAAGGAAGAAGGAUCUAUGGUUCGUAAACUUCUUUUGCAGGGGAAUAAAGUGCGGGACGUGUCCUGUUUUGUAUGUACCCUGAGAAUAAGGAUCGGCUAACUCCGUGCCAGCAGCCGCGGUAAUACGGAGGAUCCGAGCGUUAUCCGGAUUUAUUGGGUUUAAAGGGUGCGUAGGUGGUUUGAUAAGUCAGCGGUGAAAGUUUGCAGCUUAACUGUAAAAAUGCCGUUGAAACUGUCGGACUUGAGUGUAAAUGAGGUAGGCGGAAUGCGUGGUGUAGCGGUGAAAUGCAUAGAUAUCACGCAGAACUCCGAUUGCGAAGGCAGCUUACUAAGCUACAACUUACACUGAAGCACGAAAGCGUGGGGAUCAAACAGGAUUAGAUACCCCAGUAGUCC